CUACAUUUAUGGUAUAUUUUGUCUUUCAUCUUUUUCUUUUUAGGAAAUUUGAACAUCAGGUGCAUACAAGAUGUAAAAUUGCAAUGAAUAUGAAGAUCUGUGAUUUUGCAAGCAAGUAUUGUGUAAUGCAUAUGUCCACACUCCCUACCCAGAAGAAAGUCUGAAACAGAAUAUAUCACUGAAACCUCUGUGAAACC
RNAcentral lists this long non-coding RNA (197 nucleotides) under Dromaius novaehollandiae (emu). RNAcentral's name for it is "lncRNA (ENSDNVG00000018898.1)". Lineage: Eukaryota; Metazoa; Chordata; Aves; Casuariiformes; Dromaiidae. The record is from RNAcentral.